This 6636-nucleotide unclassified non-coding RNA is filed under the name Pomacea canaliculata. RNAcentral describes it as "probable G-protein coupled receptor CG31760, transcript variant X3". Lineage: Eukaryota; Metazoa; Mollusca; Gastropoda; Architaenioglossa; Ampullariidae. The record is from RNAcentral.
AGCUCGCAAGUUUCGCGUCUGCUUGGCUUUCACUGCGCACGUAGUCUGCUGUGUUGUGAGAACUUACCUGCUGCGUUCCAAAAUAUCUUGUCGUCUGCUGCGUACUGAGAAUGCAGGAACAAACAAACCUGAGCACAAGUUACAGUUUUCCUAGGAUUUAUCCCCGUCUCGCUGAUGGCAUUUACUGUAAGGCUGCCUUUACCAGGACAGAACACGAUCGUGCAUUACCUGAAGACUGCAACAAACUUUCUUAAAUCAGGACCAAAGGAACUCAAAUACCGUGGUUCUCAUUCAGUGACAGACCAAAAGAAAGCCAUCUAAAUUCUUCUAAUCGUCCUGAUGCUGCUCUGUAAAUUCUAGAAAGUUUUAAUGCUCGAAGUGAACACUUAAGGAUGUAAUGAAAGCAUAGUGAUAUGUUUCUGACCAGCCUUACCCGCCCACCUCCCGAGCCGGUUUACAGACUGUGGAGUCCCUGCUGACAGCCAGUCUCGACACCAAAUAAGUGAAUCACGGAGUUUACAAAGUAUCGAAAGUUAGAAAAAAGGCUUGCUUUGCGUAAUACAUCUGCAACCUUAAAAGCUUCCCCAAUUUGCAAAAAUUUCGUUCGUUGAUAAACUCAAAGUGUUUGACGGUGCAGCGUGGUACAGCAGCGCGGCACGGUGCGACGCAGCCAGGCACAUCACAGAGCCCGCCGUUCCCUGUCGUCCAGUGGCAUUUUUUUCUUGGAAGACAGUGCCUGCUGCACAGACGACAAUUGCGACGGCAGAUAGACUUUUAGGUCUCGGCUGGCUACGUGCACUUGCUGCGCUUUUAGUCUCUUGUAGUUGUCGUCUGCUGUCACUGCUGCUGUUGCCGGCUGCCGCGCCGGCGUGUCAGUGCUGGACCCGACCUGAGCCGGCCACCACCACCACCGCUGCCCGCGUGCUGCUGAGCCCUUUCACUCGCCCGCAGGAGACUGACAGGCAGCAAAAGCGCGUGUGAGAGAGCGAGCGAGAGAGAAAGCCAAGACGGCAUGAGAGUAGGUGAACAACGCUGGUUGGUAAGAAACAAGACGGACGAACCGAAACGUUCGCUGAGGACUCCUUCGAAUUUUGUGACUGUGUUGCCCCCACAAAGAAAGAAGCAAACAAACAACUUCUCCGCUUUCAUGAUUACUUUCUUUGUGAAUUUAUAUACCUACGUCUUGAGAAUUUAGCCUGCGACUCUCAGGUAUGAGGAAAAAAAUAAGGGCGAGAACAGGUUUUCCCGGCGCAUUGAUUCUGGUGUCCUUUUAGCUUCCGACGCAAGUAACAGGACUCGCCCACAAGUCUGCUGCAGACAGGACAAAGAAGAUUGGGUAGUCUCAGACGUGUCUUAACUUGACACGUCUAAUCUUCUUGACUUCAUAACAUUCGUGUCUUUGCCCCGUCACAGUUUCUUCUUCUUUUUUGUUCUUCACCUCCUUUACUUUCACCUCUUUCUUUGAUUUCCUUUUGCACUGGUGGCCGCUAUUAGUAAUCCCACCAACUGACCCUUAAAACUUCACGGAAUGGAUUCGAGGACAGGACGUGGCUGUUUGGCAAUGGCACUUUCUUAGGCAUACAGUGAGCUCGAACGAUGAUGUUCUGCGGCUUGUCACCCAUUGCCAUAGCGCGUAGGAGACAUUGCCGACAAGGCGUGAGGACCAUGAAGUGGCCGUGGUCAGGGCGUUGGUGCUUCGGAAGAGUUUUAUCAACCACGUGGAUCUUAUCCUCCUGCAUUCUUGUCUUCGCUCCAAAAGUUCUUGCUCUUCCGCCUGCGGAGCGGGAUGGGUACGGAAGCGGCAACUUCACGAUCUUCUCGUACCACGUUCCAGAGUCAGAGGACGACACCUUCGAGGACGACUACGACAGAGAGCCCGGCAGCAACGACUUUAUCAACAGCGGCCACAACCACAUCAGCAACAGCAACGGCAAGUUGAACGAGACGGUGCCGUGGAUGGACGGAGUCACGGAGUCGCCCAUUGGUCCCAAGGAUCACGUGGGCGACGAGCUGGAACACGUCCUGGUAGAAGGAGACGGGGAAGGAGACUACGAGUACGACAACAUGGAGCUGGACGUGGUACAACAGUUCUUGGAACAGGUGGAGAUCUACGAGAAGAACCAGGCCAACUGCACGGCUGGCACGCAGCACAACCUGGGCAAAGGUGUUAUCAAGCAAUACGGUCUGAACCGGUUUAAGUCCCAGGCACUGGUGGCGGUAAACCGAGCAAACUUUCUGACGAGGAUCUGGAAGGACGCGGGGCCCGAAAUUCUCACCUCCGAGUCUUUCUUCUACACACAGGUGCGCAACUUGGUGGAGGGUGAUCCAGAAAUCUUCGCAGGUGGGAACUGCUACGACAAGCUGCAGUUCAAAGACUACUAUCUGUUUUGUCCCUUUGCUUACCGCACCGCUCACGGCUACAUCAAUGUGAAGGAUCUGUCCGUGGAGUAUGACUACCUGGGAAAACUAGGCAACGAUUCGGAGUGGUUUUACACGGCCCGAGAGCGUGCCAGUAACCUGAACAACUUCACUUUCACAUACGGUACAACUCAGUGGCGGUACAAUCAGUCGCUGCAUCGGGAGGUGGACAAUGACAGUGUCAUCACGGUCGCCUAUGAACAUGGUCACUGGAGUCUGCCGUACUUUGACUGUGGGGGUGGAAACAUCUGGAUGAUGACAUACACUGUUCCUUUCUUCGCUUACGUCAACAACACGCCACGUUUCAAGGGUACGAGCGGAAUAGAUAUAGAUCUGCAAAAGGUGGACAUUGACCAGUGCCCACUUCCUGAAGGCUCAAAAGAAGAGAAUGUUUUUGCUGGAUCACACAAAUGCAAGCCAAGGACAACAAGGUGUGAAGUCAUAUCUGGGCUUGGCUUUCGACGAGGCUCCUACAAAUGCGUAUGCAAAGAUGGCUUCUACUUUCCGCUUCCAUCGGAAGACAAGCGUUACUACGAAGGUACUUUGGUGGAAGAGGAGUACGAGAAGAAAAGAAAGCAUCUGGAUAACAAUUACGACAUGGCUUUCGAGUGCAUGCCGUGCGCUCCGGGAUGCGACACAUGCACUGACCCCAGCCCGUGCGUUCUGACCUUAAACUGGCUUCAGCGCAGCAUCCUCCUGGGCGUGUCAGGACUCAUCAUGUGCUUCAUCCUCGUUCUCCUCUGGUUUACAAUCCAGUACCGAGAGGUCAAGGUCAUGAAGGCGUCCAGUCCCGUUCUGAUGCGCGUUGUUCUGCUCGGAGCCUUCUUUCUCUACUGCCCUCUCAUCGUGGGAUACUUUGAAGCCAGUGUGCUGACGUGCUGCGUGCAGUUCUGGAUCAGAGAGAUUGGGUUUUCUAUCUCCUAUGGGGCUCUUCUGCUGAAAACAUGGAGAAUUUCAGUGGUGUUCCGAGUGCGGUCUGCGCAACGAAUAAAGAUUUCAGAUGGUGAUCUUAUCAAACGUCUGCUGGUCAUUGUCUUCGUCUUCUCAGUCUACCUCACCGCCAGGACGGUGGCUGGGACACCCCGUGUGGUUCAAGGCAAAGAUGUUAGCGGCUUGAAAGCUUACAUAUGUUCUUCCGACUGGUGGGACCAUUCAGCAGCUAUAGCGGAACUGCUCUUCCUGCUGUGGGGAGUGCGGCUAUGCAUCGUGGUGCGCAAAGCGCCAUCAGAGUUCAACGAAAGCCGCUUCAUCAGCUGGGCUAUCUACAACGAGUUUCUUCUCUCUCUCUUCCUUAAUGUGUCCAUGAUAUUUUUGCGGGAUCCGUUUCCAACCAACCCGGAUCUGCUGUACCUCGUGCUGUUUGUGCACACACAGCUGACAACCACUGUUACCCUUGCUUUUCUCUUCGGCACAAAGGCAUACCUGGUUUACAAGUACCGGGGAAAGGAGCACACCAAGGGUGGCGGUGGCGGCACGACCAUGCUGAGCCGCGGCUCCAAGUACACAAUGGGCAACAAACCGCAGUCGACUGUCUCCAACGCCAUCUCCACAAACGGCAGCUACGGCGAGAAAGGCGAGGAGGAGGAGUGUGAGAGCUUCCUAGAGAAAGACAUUCAGGAGGAGUUCCGGCGGCUAUACACACAGCUGGAGUUGCUGAAGCAGCGCAACAUGAAGCUGGGCAACCGACAUCUGCAGUACAAGCUGUCCGCCAUGACGGAGGCCGCUAACAAGGAAGACCUGCCCCCAGACUCCACCCCUACUUCCCCCAACCUCAACGGCAAGCGCAUUGUGAUAAACCUGGACGAUUACAACGAGUCCACCAACGUAUAGCACCAACGACUUUACACACAACGACGGCAAAAAUCAAAAUAGUUCGUGUUGGCUGCAGCAGGAAGGGCUAAUCCUGGCAUCAACUGGGUUAAUCCUUGUCGCGCGAACUCUUGGAGCAACUGAAGUAGUCGCUGCAGCCAGGACGGAAACCGCAUUUGUGGAUGAUGUGGUGUGGUGGUUUUCAUUAUCACACUCUAACGAGACUAGAAUCUACUCUUACACCUGAUAGUCCGACUGAAAUUUCCUGCACUGCGUGGUAGUCAUGAGCUGGGUUUGGGUCAGUAACUCUGACAUCAAUAUUGAUGAGAAUCAUUUUCAAGUUCCAGAGGGUUCAAUGUCGAAAUGAAGACCAAGUUUCUUUUUUCCAGUUGGUGCGAUGUUAAUGAUACGAUCUUGCUAAAUCCGUAAAAUAACGGUCUUUGGUGGCAACAGUUUUAACCGGUAGUUAACGGCACGUAAUCACGACGUUACACGCGAGACACGUUGUGCAGAAUCACUCAAGCGAGGCUCCAUCUUCGCAGACCUCUUCUUCCGCACGUAGACCCACCUGCACCAGAAUCGAACCAACCCUCAGGCACACGGCCCAUGUAAAGGACGAGUCCCUGAGCGGCUUCCGCGGUCUUCGAUGUAAGGAAACUGGCCGCCAACUUUUGAUGUGAUGGAAUGGGAUUAAUGCGUUCACGACGUCGGUGCCCUCCUGCCAGGUCAGUCUGUGUUGGGUGAUUAGCGAUGUGUCUGGCUACGGUAGCAGCGGGCAGGAGCGACCACGGGCAACGCGCCGUCUGCUUUGAAAUGAAGUGCCGGUUGUCACUGACAUCAGAGCCAGCAGUGAGCAAACGUUCCACUUGAUACGUCUGCCAGACCCGCUCUUCACCCACUGUAUGGGUGGUGCGGCUGUCACAAGACCAGCUGUGGUCAUCAGCGAACGUUGUGUACAAGUGUAUGUGUGUGUGUUACAGUGUAGGUGUGGAGGUGUUUGUGCGCGCGCUUGUAUUACUUUGUGCAAUGCGGUUAUGUGUGUAUCUGCUAUUUAUCGCUUAUACUUGACACAGAACGGUGGUAGCUGUAUAGUACUUCAAGAAAAACACGCGGAUUGAACUGGACUGAUGUGGGCAUCUGUAUGGCACCAGCAGCCUGUCUGUGCACGUGUUCAAAGCGGUCUUCAUGUGCAUAAUCUGUUAUGUUCUUUGAACUUCCUAAUUUACUAGGUCUCGUUCAUGGCAGGUACUGUUCGUCAGCCACCAGCCUAUCUUGCCAAUACGACACACUAGAAAAUCUCAGAAUGAAAACAAAACAGCAAUACAGAAGAAAAUAACAGUUCAAAUGUCGUACGAUUCUUUGACAAGAAGAUCGGAACAUCAUAUUUUUGUAAUAUCCUAACGAAGGCAAUCAAAACCUCAUUUUAUAGCAGUGCAAAUACUUUGAUCUUCUGUUUGUGCUGGCGUAAGACGCUCAGCAAAGGAUGUCAUUAAUCUAUGGGCUAAAGCCCUUUGCUUGGCAGAUGGACAAGCACUAACUCUCGUUACACCCACAGUAAGGGGCAGAUCCAAACCAGAAAGCCAAGUAGCCAACAAACUCCAUGAAAAGAUAAACCGUAAAAAUGUGGUUAUUGAAGACUGAACAGAACGUUCCCAGGGUUCCUUUGUCUUUAAACAAGAACGAACGUUCUAGGUGGCACCAUCUACACAGCUUUUAUUGUGCAUCUGCAAAGGCUGAAAUUCCCCUCCAGCCGACAUUACUGUCGUAUAGAAAUCUGAGGCCUCCCUUCUCAAUGUCAUGGCAAACGCAAGCACAAACACGCACAAACACACACACACGAUCACCACCUCCACCACCACCCAUUUCCGAACGAAGAGACCGCUGGAGAUAGAAAAGCAUCUUCCCACUCCAUCCCGCCCCCACACACCCUACCCUCCUCGAAAAAGUGAAGAAAAAAAGAAGUCUCAAAAACACGACACAGAGCAGAGGGAGAGAGAGACCCGGGCAGAAGACAGAGUGGGCGUUUUGUGUGUGCGGAAGAAAAUGAAUUGGGUUUCCGGAAUUUAUUGUGGCUUCCCAUGUUACUGCUGGGCGUUGACAUGGAAAGGGGGCGUGUGAACUGACAGGAAAUGGACACCAGCAGAGCUGCGCGCGGCGCUUGGCAUCGCCAGAAAAAGACCGACAACCGCAGAGUCACAUUACUGGCCCAAGCAUGAAAUAGGAUUUACAAACGUGUUUGUCAGUUGAGGAGGAUGGAUGCUGUCCAAGUUGGGGAAAAAUGUUUAGCCAUUGCUAAAGUGGGGACAAAACGCACGCGUGCUCAAGAGAAGGAGAGAAAGCUUUGAUGUGUGGAGACAGUGGGUGGUGUGCAUGCGUUUGUGCUUGUGUGUGGUGUGCUUGUGUGUGUGC